Molecule: long non-coding RNA, 391 nt
Filed under: Vigna radiata
Lineage: Eukaryota; Viridiplantae; Streptophyta; Magnoliopsida; Fabales; Fabaceae
Description: long non-coding RNA (VRAD_LNC012824)
Source: RNAcentral
CACAACAAAAUGAAAAUGUCGUAAGUUCCAUGAAUGCAUCUAAAGUGUGAUAGAAUAGAUAAUGCUUUGUUCAAUUGAAAAUAAAGAAACUAAAACCCAUGUGCGGUGGCUAAGAAACCAAAUGCUAUUAAAAAAAAAAAUAAAAAUAAAAAAAAUCCGUGAACCGUUCCAGCACCGUCCAGCUUCCAGCCCCCAGGUACUGCUUCCAUCAAUCAGCGCUCCUUGCAUGUGAAUAUCUGAGAGAAUGGGAGUGAAUUCCCUGCACACUUCUUCCAAAGUCAUCCAAAUUCCAUCACAUGUAUCAUCCUUCAAAGAAGAGAAUGCAAUGAGAAUUAAAUGCUCCAGCCGAGAGAGCCCACCCAAGAGUGACGGCUAUUGCCACACCAAUCCC